UCCUACGGGAGGCAGCAGUGGGGAAUAUUGCACAAUGGGGGGAACCCUGAUGCAGCGACGCCGCGUGGGUGAAGAAGUAUUUCGGUAUGUAAAGCCCUAUCAGCAGGGAAGAAAAAUGACGGUACCUGACUAAGAAGCACCGGCUAAAUACGUGCCAGCAGCCGCGGUAAUACGUAUGGUGCAAGCGUUAUCCGGAUUUACUGGGUGUAAAGGGAGCGCAGGCGGCGCGCUAAGCCUGAUGUGAAAACCCGCGGCCCAACCGCGGGAGUGCAUUGGGAACUGGCGGGCUGGAGUACCGGCGGGGG
This 305-nucleotide ribosomal RNA is filed under the name uncultured bacterium. Its description in RNAcentral is "bacterial SSU rRNA". It matches the Rfam family "Bacterial small subunit ribosomal RNA", at positions 337 to 658 of the family's 1533-position model. The record is from RNAcentral.